GGGAUGUAGCUCAGUGGUAGAGCACUUGCCUAGUAUGCAUAAGGCCCACUGUUCAAUCCCUAGAACCCAUCCCA
Molecule: transfer RNA, 74 nt
Filed under: Marmota monax (woodchuck)
Lineage: Eukaryota; Metazoa; Chordata; Mammalia; Rodentia; Sciuridae
Description: tRNA.Thr
Source: RNAcentral